CCUACGGGAGGCAGCAGUGGGGAAUAUUGGGCAAUGGGCGCAAGCCUGACCCAGCAACGCCGCGUGAAGGAAGAAGGCUCUCGGGUUGUAAACUUCUUUUAUCAGGGACGAAGCAAGUGACGGUACCUGAUGAAUAAGCCACGGCUAACUACGUGCCAGCAGCCGCGGUAAUACGUAGGUGGCAAGCGUUAUCCGGAUGUACUGGGUGUAAAGGGCGUGUAGGCGGGAAAGCAAGUCAGAUGUGAAAGCCAUGGGCUCAACCUGUGGCCUGCAUUUGAAACUGGUAUGCUUGAGUACUGGAGAGGGAGACGGAAUUCCAAGUGUAGCGGUGAAAUGCGUAGAGAUCAGGAGGAACACCAGUGGCGAAGGCGGUCUGCUGGACAGAAACUGACGCUGAGGUGCGAAAGCGUGGGGAGCAAACAGGAUUAGAUACCCCUGUAGUC
RNAcentral lists this ribosomal RNA (443 nucleotides) under uncultured bacterium. RNAcentral's name for it is "partial 16S ribosomal RNA". It matches the Rfam family "Bacterial small subunit ribosomal RNA", at positions 338 to 795 of the family's 1533-position model. The record is from RNAcentral.